UUGAAUCUUAUCAUUUAAUAUCAGUGUGGGGGUAAAAUAUAUAAAUAAUUAAAUCAUUUAAUCAGUUAGUAAAAGUAUAGAAUACUGUAAACGGGAUGAUAGUAGAGAAGUAUUGUAAAAGAAAGGUUAAUAAAAAUUUACUGUAAAAAAGAAAUGUUAUAGGUAUGUACCUUUUGUAUCAGGGAUAAUCAAAAUAAUUGGUCGAACAUCCAUAAUCCCGAAAUAAUAGGAGCUAAAUCUAAAAUAUUUUUUACGUGGAAAAGUAAUAUUUAAUUUAGAUUUAGUGGUGAUAUGUUAUCCGACUGUUAUAUAUCUGGUUCUUUUUGAAAAAAAUUUAAUUUUGAAAACCAUUAAAAUUAAAAUGAGUUUUUUAAUUGCAGGAGGCAUGAGCUUCUUGUAAUGAAGUGUUAUAAGGUAUAGAUAUGUUAGUAGUUUAGAUUGGCUUAAAAACAGUCAUUUUAAUAAAGCGUUUUAGUUAAGAUAGUUAAUCAGAGUAAUUUAUAUAGACCUAUAGCCGAUUAAAGAAGAAUAAAUUUAAAUGAAUUUAUGUUUAGUUAUAAUGAUUAUAUUAGUAGUAAGUAAGUUGUUACCUAGAAAAAUCAAGAUAAUACAUUAAAAUCUUGCACAUUGAGUGGUGUAGAAGAGGAACUCGGCAAACAAAUAACUCCUGCCUGUUUAUCAAAAACAUGUCUGUAAGAAUACAAAUUUAAAGUCUGGCCUGCCCACUGAAGUAUUUUAAAGGGCCGCGGUAAUUUGACCGUGCGAAGGUAGCAUAAUCAAUAGUCUUUUAAUUGGAGGCUGGAAUGAAUGGUCGGACAAGGAGUGGGCUGUCUUCUCUAUACUCGGCGAAGUUUACUUUUAAGUGAAAAGGCUUAAAUACACUUAAGGGACGAUAAGACCCUAUAAAACUUUACAGUAUAAUUUAUAUUUUAUAAAAUAAAAUAUAACGUUAAUUAUGAACUAUCUGUUAUGUUGGGGUGACAAAGAUAUAAUUAGUAACUGUCAGGUAAAAAUAAUAAUAAUACUUAGGUUAGUUGAUCCUCUAUUAGAGAUUAUAAGAUUAAGUUACUUUAGGGAUAACAGCGUAAUUUUCUUUGAGAGUCCUUAUCGACAAGAAUAGUUGCGACCUCGAUGUUGAAUUAAGAUUUCUCUUAAAUGUAGCAGUUUAGGUAGUAGGUCUGUUCGACCUUUAAAAUCUUACAUGAUUUGAGUUCAAACCGGUGUGAGCCAGGUUGGUUUCUAUCUUUUAUUUGAUAUAAGAUUACUCUAGUACGAAAGGAUCGAGUGGUUAGAAAAUUUCUUAAUAUAGAUGGAAUUUAAA
RNAcentral lists this ribosomal RNA (1321 nucleotides) under Plesionika ortmanni. RNAcentral describes it as "16S ribosomal RNA". The stretch from base 587 to 1321 matches the Rfam family "Archaeal large subunit ribosomal RNA", at positions 1423 to 2801 of the family's 2987-position model. Lineage: Eukaryota; Metazoa; Arthropoda; Malacostraca; Decapoda; Pandalidae. The record is from RNAcentral.